Molecule: ribosomal RNA, 460 nt
Filed under: uncultured bacterium
Lineage: Bacteria
Description: partial 16S ribosomal RNA
Rfam family: Bacterial small subunit ribosomal RNA
Source: RNAcentral
CCUACGGGUGGCAGCAGUGAGGAAUAUUGGUCAAUGGACGCAAGUCUGAACCAGCCAUGCCGCGUGCAGGAAGACGGCUCUAUGAGUUGUAAACUGCUUUUGUACGAGGGUAAACGCAGAUACGCGUAUCUGUCUGAAAGUAUCGUACGAAUAAGGAUCGGCUAACUCCGUGCCAGCAGCCGCGGUAAUCCGGGGGAGUCAAGCGUUAUCGGGAUUGAUUGGGUUUAAAGGGUGCGUAGGCGGUGGGAGAAGUGAGAGGUGAAAUCCCGAGGUUCAACUUCGGAAUUGCCUCUGAUACUGUUAGGCUAGAGAGUAGUUGCGGUAGGCGGAAUGUAUGGUGUAGCGGUGGAAUGCUGAGAGAUCAGACAGAACACCGAUUGCGAAGGCAGCUUACCAAGCUACUUCUGACGUUGAGGCACGAAAGCGUGGGGAGCAAACAGGAUUAGAUACCCUAGUAGUC